Non-coding RNA from Equus caballus (horse), 7168 nucleotides. NCBI's taxonomy places the organism in Eukaryota, Metazoa, Chordata, Mammalia, Perissodactyla, Equidae. The record is from RefSeq and is a predicted model, not a curated record.
CCACCCCCGGGCGCCACCACCCGGGCCAAAUCGGUCAGAGCGGCGCGGCCGGGAGAGGGGGAGGGCUGCGGCGGGGUUGGCGGGGAAGUGGCUGCACUGCCCGUGGCCAGGAUGGGGCUGCGCAGUCCUUGGCCCCAUCACCACCAGCCUCCACCCUGGGUCCGGGUUUGUCUCUCCGCACCGGGUGGGGGUUGUGCAGUGCCCACUUCCCGAGACCUACCGGGUUAACGGUCACUUGGAGGCAGCAGAUAUGUGAAGGAGGCAGGGCAAACACAUAACCCCAGCCCCAGGAUCCAACCCGUGUCCAUCUCACCCGGCAAUGACUGCUCCCCUUAAACACAGAGAAGGAAAUUAACUCCGCUCUAAUUAGGUGAGUUUGCUACAGACACCAAUUCUCAUCUCGGUUGCAGAAAGUGUGAUCAUUUCAACUAUUUUUGUUUCUCACCACCCUCCCCCCAUCCCUACUCUACUAACAAGUCAAGAUCCUGCCAAGAUUUCCUUGUAAAUAAAACUGUCGGCAUAGGGUGUGAUUUUGAAAACAGCCUUCAGGGGACAGAAGAGAGGCUGACUCCUUUGUGGAAAGAAGCCCCAAGGUACCAGCGGUGGCAGGGGGCCCCCAGGAACAUUUCACCGCCCUUCGCCAUGGUGUUUCCAAAAGUCUCCUAGGAAAAUUCCCGACCUCUAACCAGCAGCCUCCCUUCAGGACAAUGCUACCCUUUCCCCAGCCCCUGCUGGAAGGAGACUGGCCAUCUGGACUUGGAGACGAGGAAUCCCCUAGUCGUGUUUGAAGUCUGCAAGUCCGAACAGCGGACGCAGCUCAGGGAGGAGACUGCCACUUGGAAUCCAACCCCUCCAUCCCCAGCUCCAGCAUUCUUCCAUUAUUGCCCGCUGUCUUCCAGAUCAAACAGAACAAGACUGCCAAACCAAUUUUUCCCCCCUUUCCUUUCGUCUCUUCCUUUCUCACUCCAGGGUCCCCAAUUUUCCGAGUAACUUAAAUCAUUCCUGAAAGAUGUCUAGGUUCACAGACACCAAACCCUUUCAAAGAGAGGCGUGGGUGCCCAAAAGUGAAGCUCAGAAAAGAAGAGAGGAAACUUUCCAGUUCCAAGAUUUAGCCAAUCACAUAUUCAGGGAAACUACCAGCUGCUUUGCCAGGUCUCAUCUUCCCUCUCUGCCAUCUCCUUGGGGCUUGGCUGGUCCCCAGGCUCCCGUUUCUGGAUUCUCUUUGGGCCUCCAACACUCUGUGUGACCUGAGGUUCUGCUAUACGUAGGUCCUGCCUCCUCAGUAAACAGCCUGGUCAGCCGUGCACAUCUCUCUGAUGAACGUUUCCUCCUACCGGAAGCCCUCCCUCACUCCCCAACCCAAACGGACCACCCCUUCCUCUGAAUCCCUUUCUUCUUUUGACCUUGCAUUAUAUUACCUACAUUUUAUCUUCCUUGUAUGAGAACGUAUAUUCCUUGAAGGAGAGGCUGUGGCUUAUUCGAUUUUGCGACCAUCACAAUACACAACAUUGCACACGGUAGGAGCUGAACAAAUGUCUGUUUAAUGAAAAACAGAGCAUGUCUCUUGAUAUGACACAAAGUCUAAUUACAUAGUUAUUACUCUCAACCCCCAACAAGAAACAAGUUUAUGUUAUGGAGAAAAGAUUCUUCUGCGUAAUAAAAAUACAAUUAUAUGCCUGCUGCCUUUAUUAGAAAACACUUCCAUAUUUAUCAUUUCAUUUCAUCCUCAAAAAGCCGGCCUUUUUGAGGUGAGCAGGACAAGUACAACUGCCUCCAUUUUACAAGGGGGGAUCCUAACAUCCCUGAGCCCAGAGGAGGUUUGAUUUUACACUCCUCUCACCACAUUUCUUAUUUCAAGAAGGAAAGACAAAAGCUCCCGAUGUGUUAAAUGCCUUGGCCCGGACCACUGUCUGCAGUGACUUUCUCCCAGGACAGCUGGGUGGGGCUAAAGUGGGGUGCCCAAGUGGGGCUUGUGUAGCUACAGGCUGUAUGGCUCAGAAACUUUGGGGAUGUCUCUGGCUUUAGAGUAAAAGCCAUUGGUAUGUUUAUCAGCUUUGUUCCUCUUAUGGUACGGUGCAAUCAGUGUCCCCAAAGGAGGGAGAAAGGUUUGCUCUUGUUCACCACCACACUGCACCAGGCAUGAGGGUGUUCGCAAGAGCAGAGUGGAAGAAACGUACAUUCUGGGAGGGCCAGGGGCCAUGUGCCACGAGGCCCGUGGUAGACCUUUCCACUAGAGUGUACGUUCAUGGAGGGCAGGGACUUGGUUUGUUUGCCUAUAGCAAUACCUUAACUCCUAGAACAAUUCCUGGCACAUCGAAGGUUCACAAACAGUAUUUGCUUAAUGAAUGAACCUGUGCUAUUUAUACUUCUUCAGGCCUAAGGAAGGCCUCCCAGAGGUCAGAAUUCCUGGGAAGUCUGCCCAGUGUGUGGCCCCCUAGGACUUCCUCAGCCUCCGUUGGGGAAGAAUGUCAAUUAAUCCGGCACCGUCUCCCAUGAGGAGUUCCCGUGAAGAAUGCCUUGGGGUCCACGAGGCAGGCUUUCUGAUGAUGAGGAUGUAGCAGCAGCAGCGGCAACAGCAAAACAUCCUGGAGCUCCAUAUCCAGCACGGAAAGAGGCAACAGUGCUGGGGAGACAGCCGUGAAGAGAAAUGCGGCAGCGGCGGCCACAGCAGCCGCAGCUGCCUGGAAACACCAGGCAGAGGAGUGAGACGAUGGGCACUCAAACCUGCUUCCUCCAUCUCUCAGCCGCACGGCGCAAGUGAGGCUAUGUGAGAACUGCUCAGUGCACACUGUAAAUACCAUCUGCCACACUGCCCGCCCAGACGCAGCCGCCCUCCCUGGAAGGGAAGCAUUCUUUAUUAUUUAUGCAGAAUGCACCCUACUUAAAUGCUGUGCCACCACGAGAGGGAGAGGAAAGCCUGUAAGAGUCAGGGACUCCAGGGACCUACCCCUCGGCUAGCAGCUGGUCAGGAGGGCUUGGCAGUCAUGUUUCUGGGGUGGGAGUGUAACUCUCAGCUUUCCUGGGAAUUAGGAGGCCUGCAUUCUAGUCCUAGUUCUGCCACCAGCUUGCUGUGUAACCUUGGGCAAAGCACCUCAACCCUGUGGGGCUCCGUUUUCUCAUCUGUAAAUGGAGAGUUCAGACUAGAUGGCCUCUGACAUCUCUUCCAGCUCUUAAAUUCAGCUGGCAUCACUCAACCCUACUUCCUCUUGCCGCUGGCCCAGAAGCCUGUUCAUUUCCCAUCAGCCCUUCCACCCAGGCUGGACCGGGGAAAUAGAGAUCAGGAUGUGAGCGUACUUGCCAGCAGGCCCGGGAGUCAGAAGACCUGGGUUGUUAUCCCAGCUCUGUCACCAUUUAGCCCUGUGACCCUGGGGAAGGCAGGGUUUCCUUACCUUGAUUUUGUCUUUUGUGAAACAAGUGGGUGGGACCAGGAGAUUUCAGUAGGAGAAUCCAUAUCUAAAUCCCGCCAUCUCUGAUUUUCCCUUCCAAAACACUGCCGGCAAACAUCUUUACAGAUUGAGCCUCCAGAGACAGAGAUGAAUGAGACGUAGUCUCUGCCCUCAAUGAGCUCUAUCUAAGACAGGUGGAGAAGACAUGCUAAAAAACACUGCAGGUACAAUGUGAUAGGUACUGAGUAGAGAGGCGUGCAAAGCAUGUGGUGGUCACUCUGUGUGACCUGAGGUUCUGCUAUACGUAGGUCCUGCCUCCUCAGUAAACAGCCUGGUCAGCCGUGCACAUCUCUCUGCUGAACGUUUCCUCCUACCGGAAGGCCUCUCUCACUCCCCAACCCAAACGGACCACCCCUUCCUCUGAAUCCCUUUCUUCUUUUGACCUUGCAUUAUAUUACCUACAUUUUAUCUUCCUUGUAUGAGGAAAGAGGGUCCAAGUGGGUGAUACUGGAGCUGAAUCUUAAAAGACAAAGUAGGAAUUCGCCAGGCAGAUGAGGCUUGAUGCAUUCAAGACAGACAGAACUGCAUGUUCUAAGGCAGGAAGGUGUGAAUCUGCAUAGAAACUGCCCGCUGGUUGUUAGGGUGAUGGUGACACUCUGGGAGUCUUUGCAUUGAUUGCUUCCUCUCCCACUCCUUUGGAACAAUCCAGUACUCCUUGGAUAGGGGUGAGAGGGCUUAUGGUUGAUAGCUCAGCUUGGCCUCCCAGUCCAUGAAGCACAUCACCAAGGAGAUGGGAGACUAAUGAGAGUCUUCCCUUCUAGCUCCUGCCUCCUCUGAACUAGAAUCAGUGAAGCAGGUUGGAAAUAGGGGGCUGGCUCAAGUGACCCCAAGGUGAUCCACAAUUCUCCAGCUUUGCACACCAUCAGGCUGGGUUAGAGGAGGAACGUGGCUCUGUGCAAAAUGGGGCCCAGUGGCUGGCGUGGGCAAUCUGGGUUUGCUGGGCAUCCUCCCGUGCACAGCCAGAGCACGUGAUCUGUCCUACAGCUGUGGCAGCCUGUUGUGGCUCCUCGGGGAGCUGUCCAAGUCCUCUGCAGAGAGAUGGAGUUAACCUGUCCCUUCUCCGUGAAGGACGUCCUGCAACGGAAAUGCGCUUUUCCCCCUGGCCUCUCAAUCUGGUUUGCUGCAGCUCUGGUCUGCAGCUCACAAGCUGCCUCGGCAUACUCCAAAACACACAAGAACAGCAGAGAGGAGAAACACAGGCAUCCGAGGCAUCCAUUAGCUGGGAGCAGCCUCAUAGGCUGCAAGCCACGGGGUUAACCAGGCUCAGGGAAAGCCUGUGAAGCGCCGGUAAGCAUUCUGCCUGCUUGGCUUGCUGCAACAAUUUAUAUCCAAGAAAAAGGGGCUGCAAGUCAGGGAAUUACCAGAAAUGCUGAAGGAACAGGCACAUUUGCCAGAUGGUUCCUGGGGCAUGACUGUAUUUGCAGAGGGACUAUCUGCAGGGGGAGGUCCUUUCAUUGGAGAGCAAAGGCGCUAGCUGAUGGCUCAUUCAUUAUCCUCGGGCUCGUUUGGAGGAGGGUGGUGGCUUGAAUCACACCCACGCUCGUCCUCUCUUCCCAGAACCUUGAAGCUGUGUUUGCCUGAGGUUGCAGUGACGUUCAGGAUUGGGUCUCUCCGAACACUCCAAGCCCUGCUUCUUUAGACACCCGCCACCUCUAUCUUCUUUCCUAGCUGAAGCCAGUUCACCCAUUCUCCCAACUGCCAGCUGUCAUUCUCUCUCCUUCAUGUAACUGACCGCAUUCAGUCAAUUACACAGGUCGUGCUGUGAGUUCAGUCGUGCUGCCGGGGCUGAACUAUGCGGCCAUAGGGACAAGGCUGGGAGGGGGUAAGUGGGUUUGAAAAUAUGAAUAACUGGAAAGGCAUUUGAAAUUAUUUGCUACAUUAGCACAGAAUCUUCAAGAUCUCAUUGCUUUUCCCUAACAACAUGUGUAUCUGCCUUUGUCUUCCUCCAUGAAACUACAGACUGUGAACAGUAGGGGCUACGUCUGCCAUGGCUUUGCAAGCACUCCAGAUAGAUUAGUGGUCAUACAUCAAUCACGCAGAUGCCCCCAAAAACCUUGGUCAUGGGGGAGAUGAGGUGAGGGCAAGUGGGCAGUCAACACAAAGCAUCACUCCUGCAGAGCCCCAGGAUGCUGUCUCACUAGUGGUCGGUGGCCUCCCCCCUGCAGAAGGCCAGCAUCACAGCAGCAGCAGCAGGCUGUGUGUCACAAGGGUGCCCACGUAUUAGGGGACCUGUAAUCAUUUGUCCGUUUGUUGUACCUUCUGUGUUAUAUCAUGACCUCCACAAGGACAGGAUGCCUUUGUAAUCACGUCACUAUCUCUGAGUACUACGCUGACAGCAUGGUGUCUAGGGGUUUACUGGAAAACACACAAAUUUAUUCAUACAGACCUUGACUUGCAUUUGGCAGGAUAGCCUUCAGCCAGUUAGUUCACUCAGGCUCAGUAAGACUCACUUUCCUGGGAUUUAAACAAGGCUAAUAUGACACAUCUUGCUAGGAUGUCAGUAAAAAGGAUGGGACAGAGCAGCUCUCAGUAAGCCUCAGUUCCCCUCCCUUUUACCCCUGGAUAGUCAAUAUGUGGUGUUGAAUAAAUGAAUAAAUUAUUUCGGAGAUGAAUACACUUUGGCAUCUUUCUUGGAUACAUUCACAUUCCAAAAAGCACAUAUAUUGCAGUUGUUUUUUAAAACAAUCCAACACCAAGUCACCAAAUUUGCAGUUUAUAGCAGGAGACAGCCACCCUGUGGGGGCUACAGUGGUUUCCCACAGAUGGAGAAGUACCUCUGUUUGUUUAUUUUUAAAGGAAAAUACAAAGAAACUACCUUGGAAAACACCACCACAGGACUUUGUGUUCGAUCUCUUUCAUCUCUCCUCUUGCCAUGAGAGGCACAUAGUUGGUGCCUAAUAAAUGCACACCAAAGGCUUGGCCUUCUGAGAGGCCUUGAAGCUGCAAGACUGGCUGGGAACCACGUGAAGUCCUGGAGACACAGUGUCCUCUGGUGGGAAGGAACAGCCAUAACACCCUGCAGAGCUGACCAAGACACGCCAAGCCCAGGGCGGGUGGCUUCCCUGAAAUGCCCUGGAUUAGCCCACAGUGCAGCCAGCAGGGCAGACUUGCAGGGCUGUCCCCAUGACUGGGAAAUAACAAACAAACAACACAUUUUCCAGGAAAUGCUUCUCUGAAUGUACUACUCAGAGACAGCCAUUGCAGCCACAUGCGUUCCUUAAAAUUCAUUAGGCAUCUGUCAAUGGGGUCUCAGCAAUGAUUCUAAGCUGCUAACCUCACAGAAAGGAACCAGACUCUCCCUGUCUCUGAUGGAAACGCACAGCACCACCUAGGAAGGAUUUCUGCCACAAAACUGAACCUGAGUCUGACCAAGUCUCUAGAUCUAACCACCAAUUUACAAGAAACUGGUAGAUAACAAAUAAAUAACCUUGCAAAGGAACAUGCUGAACCCACCACAAGGAGGUGAUCACAAAAUCCAGACCAUGGGAAGCUCUACAGGACAAAUGACCUGGUUUCUGCAGCAAUAAAUUACAAAGGAGACGGGAAGAGAUGAACCUUUUUUUGGAUCCUGAUUUAAACAAAGUGAAAAAAAAUUUUGUUUAGGCAAUUGGGGGAUUCUGAACAUUAUAUAUUUCAUCUUAAGAAAUUGUUCAUAGGGGCCAGCCUGGUGGUGCAGUGGUUAAGUUUGCACAUUCCACUUCGGCGGCCCAGGGUUCGCUGGU